This is a long non-coding RNA of Oreochromis aureus, 411 nucleotides long. RefSeq lists it as uncharacterized. The record is from RefSeq and is a predicted model, not a curated record. NCBI's taxonomy places the organism in Eukaryota, Metazoa, Chordata, Actinopteri, Cichliformes, Cichlidae. The transcript has 3 exons.
AUCUGUGGUUUCACAUCAAACACAGUUUGUACACUGAUAAUACAGUCAAGAAACAGAUGGAGAUCAGUGACAACAAUGGAUAAAAGAAACCAAAAUGAGUUUUGCUCAAGGCUUGUUCAUUUUUAAGGGCUUUGCACCAGCAGUGGUAGUGAACUCUGGGAGUUUCACACUUUCUACAUCAUUAAAUCUGUGGACAAAGAGUAAUGGUCUUCAAAGUCUUGAUGGAAGAAAAGUGUUGAACCUUGCUGCCUGUUCCUCUCCUGCGCAGUGUGAAGAGGGAAAGACAGUACACCCUCAUGUUCAUCAGUUCUCUGCUCACUUGUCUUUUAUCUUUCCAGUGUCAUGCUUUCUUUUCCUGUCACCUUUAUAUCCUUGCAUUAUUUCCCCUAAAUAAAGACUAUUUAAAUCUUA